RNAcentral lists this unclassified non-coding RNA (457 nucleotides) under Hevea brasiliensis (rubber tree). The record is from RNAcentral. Lineage: Eukaryota; Viridiplantae; Streptophyta; Magnoliopsida; Malpighiales; Euphorbiaceae.
UGAUUUUCUCGCAUUAGCCAUCACAGAGGAUGUCCUACAUGAACUUCCAACAACUUCUUUUCCAUUUGAGGAAGUGAAAGAAGGCCUGAGAGGUCUUGGUUUCUCUGUACUUCUAACUUGCGGGCUCUUCAUAGAGCUGAGCCGGCUGCUGCAUCCAUAUCGAGAGCACAACUGAACAUUUUCAUCCCUGCUGUCAGCUAUGUCCCUCAAACCUCUUCUGGGAACGUAAAGGCCAUUAACAGCUCUUUUGCUUGAAUAUUCAUCCAUAGAUUACAUACAACCUCUUAGUUUUUAUUUGUUCCUCUUCCUUGUUCUUGUUCUUCUCUUCUUCUUUACACAAAAAGAAAAAGAAAAUACAAAGAAACAAAUGAGGAAAAAAAGUAGUCUUUUUAGAGAGAGAGAGAGAUAAGGGGAGAGAGAGAAACGUGUAAAUUAUGUAAAGAUGGGAAGGUGAAAG